GUAGUCCACGCCCUAAACGAUGUCAACUAGUUGUUGGGGAUUCAUUUCCUUAGUAACGAAGCUAACGCGUGAAGUUGACCGCCUGGGGAGUACGGUCGCAAGAUUAAAACUCAAAGGAAUUGACGGGGACCCGCACAAGCGGUGGAUGAUGUGGAUUAAUUCGAUGCAACGCGAAAAACCUUACCUACCCUUGACAUGUACGGAAGUCUGCUGAGAGGUGGAUGUGCUCGAAAGAGAACCGUAACACAGGUGCUGCAUGGCUGUCGUCAGCUCGUGUCGUGAGAUGUUGGGUUAAGUCCCGCAACGAGCGCAACCCUUGUCCUUAGUUGCUACGCAAGAGCACUCUAAGGAGACUGCCGGUGACAAACCGGA
This 372-nucleotide ribosomal RNA is filed under the name uncultured bacterium. RNAcentral's name for it is "bacterial SSU rRNA". It matches the Rfam family "Bacterial small subunit ribosomal RNA", at positions 790 to 1167 of the family's 1533-position model. The record is from RNAcentral.